CCUACGGGUUGCAGCAGUGGGGAAUAUUGCACAAUGGGCGCAAGCCUGAUGCAGCCAUGCCGCGUGUAUGAAGAAGGCCUUCGGGUUGUAAAGUACUUUCAGCGGGGAGGAAGGCGAUAAGGUUAAUAACCUUGUCGAUUGACGUUACCCGCAGAAGAAGCACCGGCUAACUCCGUGCCAGCAGCCGCGGUAAUACGGAGGGUGCAAGCGUUAAUCGGAAUUACUGGGCGUAAAGCGCACGCAGGCGGUCUGUCAAGUCGGAUGUGAAAUCCCCGGGCUCAACCUGGGAACUGCAUUCGAAACUGGCAGGCUAGAGUCUUGUAGAGGGGGGUAGAAUUCCAGGUGUAGCGGUGAAAUGCGUAGAGAUCUGGAGGAAUACCGGUGGCGAAGGCGGCCCCCUGGACAAAGACUGAUGCUCAGGUGCGAAAGCGUGGGGAGCAAACAGG
Molecule: ribosomal RNA, 446 nt
Filed under: uncultured bacterium
Lineage: Bacteria
Description: bacterial SSU rRNA
Rfam family: Bacterial small subunit ribosomal RNA
Source: RNAcentral